Molecule: ribosomal RNA, 1952 nt
Filed under: Salmonella enterica
Lineage: Bacteria; Pseudomonadati; Pseudomonadota; Gammaproteobacteria; Enterobacterales; Enterobacteriaceae
Description: partial 23S ribosomal RNA
Rfam family: Bacterial large subunit ribosomal RNA
Source: RNAcentral
UUUAGGUAGCGCCUCGUGAAUUCAUCUCCGGGGGUAGAGCACUGUUUCGGCUAGGGGGCCAUCCCGGCUUACCAACCCGAUGCAAACUGCGAAUACCGGAGAAUGUUAUCACGGGAGACACACGGCGGGUGCUAACGUCCGUCGUGAAGAGGGAAACAACCCAGACCGCCAGCUAAGGUCCCAAAGUCAUGGUUAAGUGGGAAACGAUGUGGGAAGGCCCAGACAGCCAGGAUGUUGGCUUAGAAGCAGCCAUCAUUUAAAGAAAGCGUAAUAGCUCACUGGUCGAGUCGGCCUGCGCGGAAGAUGUAACGGGGCUAAACCAUGCACCGAAGCUGCGGCAGCGACACUGUGUGUUGUUGGGUAGGGGAGCGUUCUGUAAGCCUGUGAAGGUGUGUCGUGAGGCAUGCUGGAGGUAUCAGAAGUGCGAAUGCUGACAUAAGUAACGAUAAAGCGGGUGAAAAGCCCGCUCGCCGGAAGACCAAGGGUUCCUGUCCAACGUUAAUCGGGGCAGGGUGAGUCGACCCCUAAGGCGAGGCCGAAAGGCGUAGUCGAUGGGAAACGGGUUAAUAUUCCCGUACUUGGUGUUACUGCGAAGGGGGGACGGAGAAGGCUAUGUUGGCCGGGCGACGGUUGUCCCGGUUUAAGCGUGUAGGUGUGUGUUCCAGGUAAAUCCGGUUCACUUUAACACUGAGGCGUGACGACGAGGCACUACGGUGCUGAAGCAACAAAUGCCCUGCUUCCAGGAAAAGCCUCUAAGCAUCAGGUAACAUCAAAUCGUACCCCAAACCGACACAGGUGGUCAGGUAGAGAAUACCAAGGCGCUUGAGAGAACUCGGGUGAAGGAACUAGGCAAAAUGGUGCCGUAACUUCGGGAGAAGGCACGCUGACACGUAGGUGAAGUGAUUUACUCAUGGAGCUGAAGUCAGUCGAAGAUACCAGCUGGCUGCAACUGUUUAUUAAAAACACAGCACUGUGCAAACACGAAAGUGGACGUAUACGGUGUGACGCCUGCCCGGUGCCGGAAGGUUAAUUGAUGGGGUCAGCGCAAGCGAAGCUCCUGAUCGAAGCCCCGGUAAACGGCGGCCGUAACUAUAACGGUCCUAAGGUAGCGAAAUUCCUUGUCGGGUAAGUUCCGACCUGCACGAAUGGCGUAAUGAUGGCCAGGCUGUCUCCACCCGAGACUCAGUGAAAUUGAACUCGCUGUGAAGAUGCAGUGUACCCGCGGCAAGACGGAAAGACCCCGUGAACCUUUACUAUAGCUUGACACUGAACAUUGAGCCUUGAUGUGUAGGAUAGGUGGGAGGCUUUGAAGUGUGGACGCCAGUCUGCAUGGAGCCGACCUUGAAAUACCACCCUUUAAUGUUUGAUGUUCUAACGUGGACCCGUUACCCGGGUUGCGGACAGUGUCUGGUGGGUAGUUUGACUGGGGCGGUCUCCUCCUAAAGAGUAACGGAGGAGCACGAAGGUUGGCUAAUCCUGGUCGGACAUCAGGAGGUUAGUGCAAUGGCAUAAGCCAGCUUGACUGCGAGCGUGACGGCGCGAGCAGGUGCGAAAGCAGGUCAUAGUGAUCCGGUGGUUCUGAAUGGAAGGGCCAUCGCUCAACGGAUAAAAGGUACUCCGGGGAUAACAGGCUGAUACCGCCCAAGAGUUCAUAUCGACGGCGGUGUUUGGCACCUCGAUGUCGGCUCAUCACAUCCUGGGGCUGAAGUAGGUCCCAAGGGUAUGGCUGUUCGCCAUUUAAAGUGGUACGCGAGCUGGGUUUAGAACGUCGUGAGACAGUUCGGUCCCUAUCUGCCGUGGGCGCUGGAGAACUGAGGGGGGCUGCUCCUAGUACGAGAGGACCGGAGUGGACGCAUCACUGGUGUUCGGGUUGUCAUGCCAAUGGCACUGCCCGGUAGCUAAAUGCGGAAGAGAUAAGUGCUGAAAGCAUCUAAGCACGAAACUUGCCCCGA